AAUUUUUGACAAUGGGGGAAACCCUGAUCCAGCCAGCCCGCGUGUAUGAGGAAGGCCUUCGGUUUGUAAAGUACUUUUGGCAGUGACGAAAAGGUACCUCCUAAUACGAGGUACUGCUGACGGUAUCUGCAGAAUAAGCACCGGCUAUCUACGUGCCAGCAGCCGCGGUAACACGUAGAGUGCAAGCGUUAAUCGGAAUGACUGGUCGUAAAGCGUGUGUAGGCGGUUCGGAAAGAAAGAUGUGAAAUCCCAGGGCUCAACCUUUGAACUGCAUUUUUAACUGCCGAGCUAGAGUAUGUCAGAGGGGGGUAGAUUUCCACGUGUAGCAGUGAAAUGCGUAGAUAUGUGGAGGAAUACAGAUGGCGAAGGCAGCCCCCUGGGAUAAUACUGACGCUCAGACACGAAAGCGUGGGGAGCAAACA
Molecule: ribosomal RNA, 422 nt
Filed under: uncultured bacterium
Lineage: Bacteria
Description: partial 16S ribosomal RNA
Rfam family: Bacterial small subunit ribosomal RNA
Source: RNAcentral